RNAcentral lists this ribosomal RNA (1239 nucleotides) under metagenome. RNAcentral describes it as "bacterial LSU rRNA". It matches the Rfam family "Bacterial large subunit ribosomal RNA", at positions 1564 to 2813 of the family's 2925-position model. The record is from RNAcentral.
UGAUGACGAGACGCUAAGGCGUUGAAGCAGUGUAUGUCAGACUUCCAAGAAAAGCUCGCAAUGUCAUAAAUAAAGAAUGCCUGUACCAUAACCGACACAGGUGGGUAGGUAGAGUAUACUAAGGGGCGCGAGAUAACUCUCUCUAAGGAACUCGGCAAGAUGACUCCGUAACUUCGGGAGAAGGAGUGCCUUAUUUAUAAGGUUGCAAUAACAAGAUCCAAGCAACUGUUUAUCAAAAACACAGGUCUCCGCUAAGUCGUAAGACGAUGUAUGGGGGCUGACGCCUGCCCAGUGCCAGAAGGUUAAAGAAGUUGGUUAGUGUAUGCGAAGCUGAUGACUGAAGCCCUGGUGAACGGCGGCCGUAACAAUAACGGUCCUAAGGUAGCGAAAUUCCUUGUCGGGUAAGUUCCGACCCGCACGAAAGGCGUAAUGAUUUGGAUACUGUCUCGGAGAGAGGCUCGGUGAAAUAGACUUGUCUGUGAAGAUGCGGACUACCUGCACCAGGACAGAAAGGCCCUAUGAAGCUUUACUGUAACUUGAAAUUGGAAUUGGACUUUGCUUGCGCAGUAUAGGUGGGAAGCGUUGAAGAUAUUCUUGCGGGAGUAUUGGAGCUAUCAGUGAGAUACCACUCUUGUAAUGUUAGAUUUCUAACUUUGAACCAUAAUCUGGUCAAAGAACAGUUUCAGGUGGGCAGUUUGACUGGGGCGGUCGCCUCCCAAAUGGUAACGGAGGCGUACAAAGGUUUCCUCUGAACGGAUAGAAAUCGUAUCUAGAGUGUAAAGGCAUAAGGAAGCUUGACUGUGAGACCUACAAGUCGAGCAGGGACGAAAGUCGGUCUUAGUGAUCUGACGGUACUGAGUGGAAAGGCCGUCACUCAACGGAUAAAGUUACUCUAAGGAUAACAGGCUGAUCUCCCCCAAGAGUUCACAUCGACGGGGAGGUUUGGCACCUCGAUGUCGGCUCAUCGCAUCCUGGGGCGGUAGUACGUCCCAAGGGUUGGGCUGUUCGCCCAUGAAAGCGGUACGCGAGCCGGGUUCAGAACGUCGUGAGACAGUUCGGUCCAUAUCCGGUGUAGGCGCUAGAAUAUUGAGAGGAGCCUUCUUUAGUACGAGAGGACCGAGAAGGACACACCGCUGGUGUACCAGUUAUCGUGCCAACGGUAAACGCUGGGUAGCUAUGUGUGGAGUGGAUAACCGCUGAAAGCAUCUAAGUGGGAAGCCCACCUCAAGAUGAGUAUUC